AUUGAACGCUGGCGGCAGGCCUAACACAUGCAAGUCGAGCGAGCGGCGGACGGGUGAGUAAUGUCUGGGAAACUGCCUGAUGGCGGGGGAUAACUACUGGAAACGGUAGCUAAUACCGCAUACCAUCAGAUGUGCCCAGAUGGGAUUAGCUAGUAGGUGGGGUAACGGCUCACCUAGGCGACGAUCCCUAGCUGGUCUGAGAGGAUGACCAGCCACACUGGAACUGCGACACGGUCCAGACUCCUACGGGAGGCAGCAGUGGGGAAUAUUGCACAAUGGGCGAAAGCCGGAUGUAGCCAUGCCGCGUGUACGAAGAAGGCCUUCGGGUUGUAAAGGACUUUCAGCGGGGAGGCGUUACCCGCAGAAGAAGCACCGGCUAACUCCGUGCCAGCCGCCGCGGUAAUUC
RNAcentral lists this ribosomal RNA (406 nucleotides) under uncultured bacterium. RNAcentral describes it as "partial 16S ribosomal RNA". It matches the Rfam family "Bacterial small subunit ribosomal RNA", at positions 30 to 526 of the family's 1533-position model. The record is from RNAcentral.